UCGUCUUCUCUCUUUCGUGUUUCUUCUGGGCAAGGGCAAGCACCGUUUCGUAUUCAAAUUCCUGAAAUUUCGUUUUCUUUUUCGGUUUCUCAGUUCGUCGACUAUAUUGAUCUUGCAACGCUUCAGCAGGUCGGUGUUUUGAAGUAGAACUCAGGCCUAUCAAGCUUCAUUAUUGAUUCCGGAAGUGACGAGAAGAGAACAUCUGGUUUCUUCUUCACUAUGCGAGGUCCUGCUGGAACCUUUCGAGUCUUUGGUCGAAUAUCCUGCAAGAACAUAAUGGCAGUGGGUAUUGCAAGCGUAGCAACGGCAUUUGGAGCAUCGACUAUCCCAGAUAUUCUUCCUUCGCACGGACAGCAUGAGAGUAAGAGGUAUACCUGUUCCUCUUAAAACUUAAAACUCCUUGGCAGAUUUAAUGCUUGUGAUCAGUUUUGGUUCUCAGAGAAACUUCUAGUGGCAAGGAUUAGUAUACCUGUUCUUUUGAGUAACCAAAUUUGGAGAGAUAGUCUAUAGCGUUGAGAACUGCUCGUUUGUAAGCAACUGUUGCAUCUAGAUAAUGUUGUUUUCCGCUCUCAUCGACACUGAUACCCUCAAACACCAGCCACUCUGAGAAUCUUGGUUCCAUUGGCCCUAUCUCAAAGAUUGGGUUUACAUGGAGAGGGGUUGGUCCCAUUGGUGUAAGCCUCCUUUGAAAUCCUUUCCCAUUCUGGUGUUCCCUCUUCAAUCUACAAGAGCAUUAUGUAAAGAAUCCUCACGAGUUCAGAGCUUACAUUCCCGAGGAGGCAUCCUCUACUUGUUGGAGUUCUUUUGAUGGUGCAGUGCCAAUGAUUCCUGGGUGUGUCAAACCUGGAAACCGUACUCCUGCGGUGCCGUGAUGUGAUGAUAUUAGCAUGUGAAUAGUUAACAGAACACCUCAUAACAAGGAAAGCUACAUGGUUAUGCUACUAAUCUGCUUGACAAAAAGCAGGACGAUGUUAUGUUCUAACCAGGAAUUUGAGAAGAGUAGGCAUAAAUCCCUUCAAAGUACCAAAUAGCUUUGGUUGCACAAGGGAAAUGGUCAGUCAAGAACCCGCCACCAUUCUCUCUAUCAAACGAACCAGUAAAUCCCCAUUCAUCUCCUGGCAGAGGACCCAAGUUGCAUAUCUCAACAGCGAGCAGAUCACCUGGCUUGGCUGCAACACCAUCCUCGUCCACAACUUUGAUCGGCCCACUCAGUAGAAAGGUCUAUGCUCUUUAUAUCGCCAGCAGAAUCAUCAUCUUUCACUGCACCUCCCGUCCAGUCAACCAUUUCCACCCUAAAGAACUCACCAGCCUUGACCUCAGCAACUGAUGGUAUCUCAGGAUGCCUCAGGAUGCCAUCUAUUAUGCAGUGGCUGAUUCUGUUGCCAUGGUUUCUUCUUCAAAUCCACCUUCACCACUACUCUUGGACUCAGCGGAGCCAUCAAACAUUAAAAUCCAAUAAAUUCCUUAUCCACAACUAAAAGACAGUAAAAGAUCCCAUCUCUCACCAUCUCGUAUAUGCCAUAAGACACAUUCUUUGUUAUGUCCGGAGAGAGAGGUGGAGCUCAUGAAGGAGGAGUCUUACGUUUGACUUAUUAAUUUCGUAUUUUUGUAAUUCAAAUAGUACAGAUGGACACAGUUCAUACCUGAUCGAAGAUGGCCGUAGGUAUUGCUAGUGUAGCAACGGCAUUCGGAGAAUCAACUAUCCCAGAUAUUCUUCCUUCACAUGGACAACAUGAGAGCAAGAGAUCCUACAAGUGCUGCUGCAGAGACCAGUACCUGUUCUUUUGAGUAACCAAAUUUGAAGAGAUAGUCUAUGGCGUUGAGAACUGCCCGUUUGUAAGCAACUGUUGCAUCUAGGUAAUGUUGUCUUCC
Camelina sativa (false flax) is the source of this 1872-nucleotide long non-coding RNA. RefSeq lists it as uncharacterized. NCBI's taxonomy places the organism in Eukaryota, Viridiplantae, Streptophyta, Magnoliopsida, Brassicales, Brassicaceae. The record is from RefSeq and is a predicted model, not a curated record.